GGGGGGGGGGGAGCUCUUCACUGAGACCAUGGACGAUACAGACUAUAUAACAAGGAUACAGGUUUGUAUGAGUACAAAGUGUUGGGUUCUCUGGCCAGCUGUGCUCCAGGUCUCUGCGCAGAUGUUUACAUGGAUCUGAACUACAGGAGACAGUGGGACUCGUAUGUCAAAGAUUCCCAUUUCUGCCCAAAGAUGUCACCUAGAGUGAAGACCGAAUGUCUGCAGCAGGCCACGGGAGACAUAUGAUUCUCAUUGUGUGGAUAAAAGGCAUCUGUUAUUCCCUGUCUUUUGUAUUUUUGGGAGCGCCGGAUUGGGUGGGUGGAACCACUUGUAUCAUGAUCCCCUCUCAUCCAUGUGGUGUUGCUUUAUGCUCCAUGGGUAUGGAUUCAUUGUAGUGAAAUUGAAACUUCAUGACAUGUCAUUGUUAUAAACCUAUAAAUAAUUUAUUUAGCCCUGAAGAGCGAUCGCUGCUUCAUAGGUGCCCAAUUGGCUGAGACAAGGUUCGUCUUUGACCCAGUUUGACCAUGUUGAAACAUUUUCCCUUUAUAUCUCUCAUGCGUGCUCGCAUUUAACUCUAGCCGCUUGUCAGCACGUUGCUUGGCCUGUUUUAAAAUUUUUGCUUCAUGAAAAAUCCAUAAAACUUCACAUGCCGCAAUG
Carassius carassius (crucian carp) is the source of this 657-nucleotide long non-coding RNA. RefSeq lists it as uncharacterized. The record is from RefSeq and is a predicted model, not a curated record. The transcript has 3 exons. NCBI's taxonomy places the organism in Eukaryota, Metazoa, Chordata, Actinopteri, Cypriniformes, Cyprinidae.